GGAUUAGAUACCCUGGUAGUCCUAGCCGUAAACGAUGGACACUAGUUGCUGGAGGAGUCAAUCCCUUUGGUGACGAAGCUAACGCAUUAAGUGUCCCACCUGGGGAGUACGCUCGCAAGGGUGAAACUCAAAGGAAUUGACGGGGGCCCGCACAAGCGGUGGAGCAUGUGCUUUAAUUCGAUGCAACGCGAAGAACCUUACCUGGGUUUGACAUGGUAGUGAAAGUAACCAGAGAUGGAUACCUUUCCUUCGGGAACACUACACACAGGUGCUGCAUGGUUGUCGUCAGCUCGUGCUG
RNAcentral lists this ribosomal RNA (298 nucleotides) under uncultured bacterium. RNAcentral describes it as "partial 16S ribosomal RNA". It matches the Rfam family "Bacterial small subunit ribosomal RNA", at positions 775 to 1067 of the family's 1533-position model. The record is from RNAcentral.